UACAGAGGGGGCAAGCGUUGUUCGGAAUUACUGGGCGUAAAGGGCGCGUAGGCGGCCUGUUAAGUCGAACGUGAAAUCCCCGGGCUUAACCUGGGAAUGGCAUUCGGGACUGCAAGGCUGGAGUGCGGCAGAGGAGACUGGAAUUCCUGGUGUAGCAGUGAAAUGCGUAGAUAUCAGGAGGAAUACCGAUGGCGAAGGCAGGUCUCUGGGACGGUACUGACGCUGAGACGCGAAAGCGUGGGGAGCGAACAGG
This 253-nucleotide ribosomal RNA is filed under the name uncultured bacterium. Its description in RNAcentral is "partial 16S ribosomal RNA". It matches the Rfam family "Bacterial small subunit ribosomal RNA", at positions 524 to 776 of the family's 1533-position model. The record is from RNAcentral.